GCGGGUGUAGUUUAAUGGUAAAACUGAAGCUUCCCAAGCUUCCGUCGUGGGUUCGAUUCCCAUCACCCGCUCCA
This 74-nucleotide transfer RNA is filed under the name Castellaniella caeni. Its description in RNAcentral is "tRNA-Gly(ccc)". It matches the Rfam family "tRNA". Rfam says of the family: Transfer RNA (tRNA) molecules are approximately 80 nucleotides in length. Their secondary structure includes four short double-helical elements and three loops (D, anti-codon, and T loops). Further hydrogen bonds mediate the characteristic L-shaped molecular structure. tRNAs have two regions of fundamental functional importance: the anti-codon, which is responsible for specific mRNA codon recognition, and the 3' end, to which the tRNAs corresponding amino acid is attached (by aminoacyl-tRNA synthetases). tRNAs cope with the degeneracy of the genetic code in two manners: having more than one tRNA (with a specific anti-codon) for a particular amino acid; and 'wobble' base-pairing, i.e. permitting non-standard base-pairing at the 3rd anti-codon position. The record is from RNAcentral. Lineage: Bacteria; Pseudomonadati; Pseudomonadota; Betaproteobacteria; Burkholderiales; Alcaligenaceae. RNAcentral also lists the same sequence under 6 other names.